RNAcentral lists this ribosomal RNA (465 nucleotides) under uncultured bacterium. RNAcentral describes it as "partial 16S ribosomal RNA". It matches the Rfam family "Bacterial small subunit ribosomal RNA", at positions 28 to 507 of the family's 1533-position model. The record is from RNAcentral.
GACGAACGCUGGCGGCGUGCUUAACACAUGCAAGUCGAACGGAAAGGCCCUGCUUGCAGGGUACUCGAGUGGCGAACGGGUGAGUAACACGUGGGUGAUCUGCCCUGCACUUCGGGAUAAGCCUGGGAAACUGGGUCUAAUACCGGAUAGGAGCCAUUUUUAGUGUGAUGGUUGGAAAGUUUUUUCGGUGUAGGAUGAGCUCGCGGCCUAUCAGCUUGUUGGUGGGGUAAUGGCCUACCAAGGCGGCGACGGGUAGCCGGCCUGAGAGGGUGGACGGCCACAUUGGGACGGAGAGACGGCCCAGACACCUACGGGAGGCAGCAGUGGGGAAUAUUGCACAAUGGGCGCAAGCCUGAUGCAGCGACGCCGCGUGGGGGAUGACGGCCUUCGGGUUGUAAACUCCUUUCGCUAGGGACGAAGCUUUUUGUGACGGUACCUAGAGAAGAAGCACCGGCUAACUACGUG